Molecule: transfer RNA, 75 nt
Filed under: Firmicutes bacterium HGW-Firmicutes-13
Lineage: Bacteria; Bacillati; Bacillota
Description: tRNA-Trp
Rfam family: tRNA
About the family: Transfer RNA (tRNA) molecules are approximately 80 nucleotides in length. Their secondary structure includes four short double-helical elements and three loops (D, anti-codon, and T loops). Further hydrogen bonds mediate the characteristic L-shaped molecular structure. tRNAs have two regions of fundamental functional importance: the anti-codon, which is responsible for specific mRNA codon recognition, and the 3' end, to which the tRNAs corresponding amino acid is attached (by aminoacyl-tRNA synthetases). tRNAs cope with the degeneracy of the genetic code in two manners: having more than one tRNA (with a specific anti-codon) for a particular amino acid; and 'wobble' base-pairing, i.e. permitting non-standard base-pairing at the 3rd anti-codon position.
Source: RNAcentral
AGGGGUGUAGCUCAAUGGUAGAGUAGCGGUCUCCAAAACCGUUGGCUGCAGGUUCGAGUCCUGUCACCCCUGCCA